RNAcentral lists this small RNA (120 nucleotides) under Limosilactobacillus mucosae. RNAcentral's name for it is "Lactobacillus mucosae L10_leader". It matches the Rfam family "Ribosomal protein L10 leader". Rfam says of the family: This family is a putative r-protein leader autoregulatory structure found in B. subtilis and other low-GC Gram-positive bacteria. It is located in the 5' untranslated regions of mRNAs encoding ribosomal proteins L10 and L12 (rplJ-rplL). Lineage: Bacteria; Bacillati; Bacillota; Bacilli; Lactobacillales; Lactobacillaceae. The record is from RNAcentral.
UGAUUAAAUAUGACUCUGCCUAAGACUCAGGUGGCACCAGCCUUAAUUAAUGCCUGCCGAGGAAGAAAUGAAAUGUUCCUUCUCUAUGUCUGCCGGUCAUAGGGAUUUUUUUAAAUCCGA